ACGGGAGGCAGCAGUGAGGAAUAUUGGUCAAUGGAGGCAACUCUGAACCAGCCAAGUCGCGUGAAGGAAGAAGGCCCUACGGGUCGUAAACUUCUUUUGCAGGGGGAUAAAGUCGGCCACGCGUGGCCGUUUGCAGGUACCCUGUGAAUAAGCAUCGGCUAACUCCGUGCCAGCAGCCGCGGUAAUACGGAGGAUGCGAGCGUUAUCCGGAUUUAUUGGGUUUAAAGGGUGCGCAGGCGGUUUUUUAAGUCAGUGGUUAAAUCGUGAGGCUCAACCUCAUCACGCCAUUGAUACUGGAAGACUUGAUUGCGGUUGAGGUUGGCGGAAUUCGUCGUGUAGCGGUGAAAUGCAUAGAUAUGACGAAGAACACCGAUUGCGUAGGCAGCUGACCAAGCCGUAAAUGACGCUCAUGCACGAAAGUGCGGGGAUCGAACAGGAUUAGAUACCCUGGUA
This 453-nucleotide ribosomal RNA is filed under the name uncultured Porphyromonadaceae bacterium. Its description in RNAcentral is "partial 16S ribosomal RNA". It matches the Rfam family "Bacterial small subunit ribosomal RNA", at positions 341 to 792 of the family's 1533-position model. Lineage: Bacteria; Pseudomonadati; Bacteroidota; Bacteroidia; Bacteroidales; Porphyromonadaceae. The record is from RNAcentral.